Long non-coding RNA from Musa acuminata AAA Group (dessert banana), 526 nucleotides. RefSeq lists it as uncharacterized. The transcript is spliced from 2 exons. Lineage: Eukaryota; Viridiplantae; Streptophyta; Magnoliopsida; Zingiberales; Musaceae. The record is from RefSeq and is a predicted model, not a curated record.
UUUUGCACGCAUCGCAAAGCACAAAGAACCUCUUGCGGAAGCGAAGAAAAAAGGGUUUUCCCUUCCUGCGCUCGUGCUCGUCUCGGUCCUCCCUUUCCUCUUCUUCCAUGGCGGUGAUACGGGAUCUUUACUGAUCUUGUUGAGCCACCUCUCCUCCUUUCUCGAUGCGAUCACACGCUCUCAGAGCUCUUCCUUUGUUGCAUGUUUUGGCUGUGCAGGACGUGGAAGAAGGAUUCGGGUGCUGAGGCAGCAUAAGACAUCAAAUAAGCUUCAGAAAGAUUCAAGGAUAGGAAGAGACAUGACGGCAAUGAAGGCUGUCAUAGAUUCAAUCUCUCUCUCUCUUUCUCUCUCUCCAAUAAUGGCUUUUAGUGAGAUGCAGCUGUGCCUUCAUCUCAAAAUCUGCAGAAGAAAUGCUCUUGAUUAUGUUCGCUGAACUCAAUGUCAAGGCCACAAUCCACUGUAGGAUUUGCUUCAGAGCUCCAGAACUCACCCAUCAUGCUUAUAAUCUCGAUGUGGAUUUGACUCA